This 396-nucleotide long non-coding RNA is filed under the name Phoenix dactylifera (date palm). Its description in RNAcentral is "long non-coding RNA (PDAC_LNC013130)". Lineage: Eukaryota; Viridiplantae; Streptophyta; Magnoliopsida; Arecales; Arecaceae. The record is from RNAcentral.
AAAGAGCCACCUCCUGGCUCAGGUUCCGGACUUCAAGCGUAGCCUUGUUGAAGCGGGUAAGAUAAUCCCGCAAGCUUUCUCCCUCGUUUUGCCGGACAUCGAAGAGGGAGUCGGAGACCAGUCGCCGCCGGCUACUGACGGCGAAAUGGGUGAUGAAGAGGCGAGUAAACUGGUCGAAGGACUGGAUUGAGUUAGCCUCCAAGCCGGCGAACCACGCCCUUGCCGGGCCACGGAGGGUCGCCGGGAAGGCCUUGCAGAGGAGAGGAUCUGAUGCUCCGUGGAGGAGCAUAAGAGUCCUGAAACUCUCGACGUGAUCUCGCGGGUCCGCCGCCCCGUCGUAGGGCUCGAUCGCCGGCAUUUUGAACCCCGGCGGAUUUGGGGUCCGCAGGAUCCUCG